GAGUGUUGUCAGCUACUAGCAUGGGAUGGGAAAAUGCUAACGGCAGGGGACACUAGUGAAUGGCUUGAACCUGGAGAUUUUUCUGCCCAUUUAAAUUUGCUUUCUUUCCAGUUAUUCAGCAUAUGGGUCUCCUUUUCUAGGUUAUAAUGGAGAGGGCAAUUUACUCUGUCCAAUUUUUUGUGUUUAACUGCUUUUCAUGGGGUGGAAAAAAAAAAAAAAAAAAAAAAAAAAACAGAGUAAAACCAGAAGAAAAUUUUGGCGGGUUAUUUGUCUGAGAGAAGUAUUCUUCAGAGUAGUGAUCAAUUGAUCAUAUAUAUAUCAAGACGUAUUUGACAUCUUUGGAGAUGGUCUAUAAGGACUUUAUGUAAGCCCAAAAUUUGGGUUGGGGGUGAUAGUGGGAAAGAGGUUUUUAGACAAAAGUCGUCCUUACCGCUCUUAUAAAGUCAUUUGAGCAUUUUUUUUCAUUUGAGAAUCUCUUCCCCUCACUCUUUUUCGAAGAAUAACCAGCACCAAGUCAAUAAACAUAUAUUUUUCUAAACGGAGUAGGACAUGGGCAGCAGUUACCUAGUCAUGAACCAAGCAUUCUGGCAUUGUGCACUCUCGCCUGGCCUCCGGGUAACGUUCUCUCUCGGCAUAGGCAAGGUCCACAUGCAAUUGUGCAUUCAUGGUUGGACCCACACUCUAGCGAGCAUUCAGGACCCAAUUCCAAGCGAAGUGUUUAUUCGUGGCUUGGCCCGCAUGGUUGGGCCCACACUUAGAAAUUUGCCUUCAUCAAAUAGUAUAUGCUUGGAGACAAGCAGGUUAUUGUCUAUGAGUGAAAAACAUAUAUAGCCUUUAUAUUGUGCAACAUAUCCCAUAAAAAUGCACUCAGUUGUUUUUUAUUUAAGUUUAUUACAUCUUGUUGACCCUAGAAACUACAAAGCCUACGUGGCGCGCAGGCCGAGUAUUCUAUAAGCUAACUACGUCCUUCGGUGAAUGCGGGGCGUGCCAACUCGUCGGCCGAGCUCGGCCGAGGAGUAAAUUUGUUGAUGUUGCGUUGAGCGCGCUGCUGACUUCUGUGUCUUGCGAUUGCGGCCGAGGAAGGAACAAUUCUCGGCCUCUUGGGUUCUAGAGCCUGAAGACAAGGCUGCUAAUUUGCGAAGUUCAAUCUCAAAUUCGGCUGUCAAUGUGCCGAAUACAGUAACCUGGUAACACCUCACUUCGCCGAGAAGGCUGAUGAGAUGACCUCGACCAAUAAGGAUUCGGAAAUCCUUCUCGACCGAGACUUGGAUAGGUAAGCAGUCGUCCUCGCCGUAGUGCUGUUGAUGCCAACGGAAGAUGCUGCGAGAUCGGCUGAUUCUACGGUGACAGAGCUAUCUAUGCCGACUUAAGAUAUCACCGGUUGCCUUCACAGUGCUGUUGAUGCCAACGGAAGAUGUGUCGGCGAAAAAAGAAAAUAAAAAAUCUCAAGGUGUUGAGAAAGUUUGCGCAGGGCAGUUUUGUUUGUGUCCUCUUUUCUGUCGCAGAAUAGCUUGUAUUUAUAGUAUUUUGUACUUGCUUGGCACGAACUGCAACUCUGACUCCUUCAAAAUUGAUCCGUGUGAAAUGCCAAAGCCUAUCCUCCAGCUUUUGUGACUUUUCAAACCUAAUAAAAGUUAGGCUUUAUCAUAUCUCAUAAAAAGCCUAGCCCACCUAAACUUCUUAUCAUCAAAACCCAUCUGACACCAUCCAUCACCAUGUAAAAAGACCUAGUCUACCUAGGUUCCUUAUCCCAUCAUUAUCCAAGACCAUGACUUUAAAAUCAUCAAAUCCCCAAGUUUUUUCAAUCUGCACGUUCAUUGCUAAACAUCCAAAUUAAUUUGAACUGUAUCUCUUACUUGAGGAUAUAAUUUGCAUCCUAUCCAUCCCGUUUAAAAAUAUGUCAAGAUAAUUCAAAUUAAAAGAUAAUUAUGAUAAAAACCAUAAUAUUAUCUUUUAAAAAAAUAUCUUCACUUUUCCAUCCGACGGCUGAGAACUAUGUUUACUCUACGGUCUCGAUUACACGGGCCGAUGGUGUAAAUUUGGGUCCAAACAGGGUGAUAGUGGGAAAGAGGUUUUUAGACAAAAGUCGUCCUUACCGCUCUUAUAAAGUCAUUUGAGCAUUUUUUUCAUUUUAGAAUCUCUUCCCCUCACUCUUUUUCGAAGAAUAACCAGCACCAAAUCAAUAAACAUAUAUUUUUCUAAACGGAGUAGGACAUGGGCAGCAGUUACCUAGUCAUGAACCAAGCAUUCUGGCAUUGUGCACUCUCGCCUGGCCUCCGGGUAACGUUCUCUCUCGGCAUAGGCAAGGUCCACAUGCAAUUGUGCAUUCAUGGUUGGACCCACACUCUAGCGAGCAUUCAGGACCCAAUUCCAAGCGAAGUGUUUAUUCGUGGCUUGGCCCGCAUGGUUGGGCCCACACUUAGAAAUUUGCCUUCAUCAAAUAGUAUAUGCUUGGAGACAAGCAGGUUAUUGUCUAUGAGUGAAAAACAUAUAUAGCCUUUAUAUUGUGCAACAUAUCCCAGAAAAAUGCACUCAGUUGUUUUUUAUUUA
Molecule: long non-coding RNA, 2550 nt
Filed under: Malus domestica (apple)
Lineage: Eukaryota; Viridiplantae; Streptophyta; Magnoliopsida; Rosales; Rosaceae
Description: long non-coding RNA (MDOM_LNC008265)
Source: RNAcentral